Molecule: ribosomal RNA, 497 nt
Filed under: uncultured bacterium
Lineage: Bacteria
Description: partial 16S ribosomal RNA
Rfam family: Bacterial small subunit ribosomal RNA
Source: RNAcentral
GAUGAACGCUGGCGGCGUGCCUAAUACAUGCAAGUCGAGCGAACAGAUGAGGAGCUUGCUCCUCUGACGUUAGCGGCGGACGGGUGAGUAACACGUGGAUAACCUACCUAUAAGACUGGGAUAACUUCGGGAAACCGGAGCUAAUACCGGAUAAUAUAUUGAACCGCAUGGUUCAAUAGUGAAAGACGGCUUUGCUGUCACUUAUAGAUGGAUCCGCGCCGCAUUAGCUAGUUGGUAAGGUAACGGCUUACCAAGGCAACGAUGCGUAGCCGACCUGAGAGGGUGAUCGGCCACACUGGAACUGAGACACGGUCCAGACUCCUACGGGAGGCAGCAGUAGGGAAUCUUCCGCAAUGGGCGAAAGCCUGACGGAGCAACGCCGCGUGAGUGAUGAAGGUCUUCGGAUCGUAAAACUCUGUUAUUAGGGAAGAACAGAUGUGUAAGUAACUAUGCACGUCUUGACGGUACCUAAUCAGAAAGCCACGGCUAACUACGUG